This 384-nucleotide ribosomal RNA is filed under the name uncultured bacterium. RNAcentral's name for it is "bacterial SSU rRNA". It matches the Rfam family "Bacterial small subunit ribosomal RNA", at positions 30 to 417 of the family's 1533-position model. The record is from RNAcentral.
AUUGAACGCUGGCGGCAUGCCUUACACAUGCAAGUCGAACGGCAGCGCGGACUUCGGUCUGGCGGCGAGUGGCGAACGGGUGAGUAAUGUAUCGGAACGUACCAUUCAGUGGGGAUAACGCAGCGAAAGUUGCGCUAAUACCGCAUAUUCUGUGCGCAGGAAAGCAGGGGAUCGCAAGACCUUGCGCUGAUUGAGCGGCCGAUAUCAGAUUAGCUAGUUGGUGAGGUAAAGGCUCACCAAGGCGACGAUCUGUAGCGGGUCUGAGAGGAUGAUCGCCACACUGGAACUGAGACACGGUCCAGACUCCUACGGAGGCAGCAGUGGGGAAUUUUGGACAAUGGGCGCAAGCCUGAUCCAGCCAUGCCGCGCGAGUGAAGAAGGCCU